RNAcentral lists this ribosomal RNA (403 nucleotides) under uncultured bacterium. RNAcentral describes it as "partial 16S ribosomal RNA". It matches the Rfam family "Bacterial small subunit ribosomal RNA", at positions 28 to 526 of the family's 1533-position model. The record is from RNAcentral.
GACGAACGCUGGCGGCGUGCCUAAUACAUGCAAGUCGAACGCAGUGGGGACGGGUGAGUAACACGUGGGUAACCUCCCAUCAGAGGGGAUAACACUUGGAAACAGGUGCUAAACCGAUACUGAUGGAUGGACCCGCGGUGCAUUAGCUAGUUGGUGAGGUAACGGCUCACCAAGUCCACGAUGCAUAGCCGACCGGAGAGGGUGAUCGGCCACACUGGGACUGAGCCACGGCCCAGACUCCUACGGUAGGCAGCGGUGGAGAAUCUUCUGCAAUGGACGAAAGUCUGACCCAGCAACGCCGCGUGAUUGAAGAAGGUUUUCGGAUCGUAAAUCUCUGUUGUUAGAGAAGCGUUAUCUAACCAGAAAGCCACGGCUAACUACGUGCCAGCAGCCGCGGUAAUUC